Non-coding RNA from Phthorimaea operculella (potato tuberworm), 75 nucleotides. The record is from the annotation of a GenBank genome assembly. Lineage: Eukaryota; Metazoa; Arthropoda; Insecta; Lepidoptera; Gelechiidae.
GCACCGAUAGCUCAGUGUCAGAGCGGUGGGGCGUUAAUUACCCAUGCGGCCCGGGUUCGAUCUCCGUUCGAUGUA